Long non-coding RNA from Herpailurus yagouaroundi (jaguarundi), 1054 nucleotides. RefSeq lists it as uncharacterized. The record is from RefSeq and is a predicted model, not a curated record. NCBI's taxonomy places the organism in Eukaryota, Metazoa, Chordata, Mammalia, Carnivora, Felidae. The transcript is spliced from 3 exons.
CACUGUGCCAGCCAGGCACCCCUAAAGUAUUGAGAUUUUAUGUUAGGGGACACCUAUAUGAGUUUUCUAUUGGUUCUGUAAUAAAUUAACAUAACCUUAGUGGCUUAAACAACGCAAGUUUAUUACCCUACAGUUCUAUGGAUUAUAAGUUCAACAUGGAUUUUCCUCUGCUAAAGUUAAGGAUUUUCCUGUCAGUAGGAGUUCCUCUCUGUAGGCUCUAAGGGAGAAUCUGUUUCGUUGCCUUUUCCAGCUUCCAGAGGCCGUCCCCGCUCCUUGCCUCCUGUCUCCCUUUCCCCUCAUCUUCACAGCCAGCAAUGGUGUGUGGAUUUCUUGUCACAUCACAUCUCUCUGGAUUCUUCUGCUUUUCACUUAUGGGGACCCUUGUGAUGACAUUUGGCCCACCUGAAUAAUCCAGGAAAUCUCCCUAUUUUUGGGUUAUCUGAUUAGCAACUGUAAUUUCAUCAGCAUCCUGAAUCCCCCUUUGCCAUGUGAUGUAGCAUGUUCACAGGUUCCAGAGAUUAGAAAGUGGAUAUCUUCUGGUGGGCACGAUUCUGCCUACCACAGCACCUGUGGUACCACUGACAAGGUGUGUGGCUCGGGGAUAUACUGCUUAAAGUGAAUUUGCUUUUGAGUCCUUAGAAUCAAGUGAAGUCAGGAGCAGGGAGCAUUAUUCCUGGGGACGUCAUUAACAUGACCUGUGAAAUCUGUGACCAGAAUCCGAGUGACAAUCUAGAAGAAUAAAAGGACAAAGAUCUCAGUUCUGGCCAUUUUCCAAGAGCAGAAGGAAAGGACCAAGGUCCAAGGUACCAAAAUACCAGACCAUGGAAAUCUUCAAAUGGAAGCUAGGAGAUAAACCAUAAAUGGAAAAGGAAAACCAUGCUUGGAGCUUUCCAGAAGUUUGAGAAGUUGGUGAUCAUAUGCAGUGGCCUUUGGAAAUCCAAAACAAGCUAAAGAAUAUGGAAAGAUGUACCCCAAUGUUUAUAGAAGCACUUUCAACAAUAGCCAAAUUCUGGAAAGAGCCUAAAUGUCCAUCAACUGAUGAAUGGAUAAAGAA